Molecule: long non-coding RNA, 523 nt
Filed under: Brassica rapa (field mustard)
Lineage: Eukaryota; Viridiplantae; Streptophyta; Magnoliopsida; Brassicales; Brassicaceae
Description: long non-coding RNA (BRAP_LNC002127)
Source: RNAcentral
AGAAACUCCAUCGUACUUACUAUUAUAGUAAAAAUAUAACAAACAUUUUAAAAAAAUCUACAAUAGGUAUAAAAAAAUCUACAAACAUUUUUAAAAAAAUCUACAAUAGGUAUAAUCAUGAAAAUAUUUUUUAAUGUUAAAAAAUUAUAAUUUCUUAAUAAAUAAUAAAAUUAGUGAAAAUAAUGUUAAUUCAAUUAAAAAUAUAUGAAGAUGAAGUGAGAAUGUGUUUUUACUAAAAAAACAAUAAAAAAGAAAAUAUAGUUAAAAUAAUUAUCACAAAAUAUAUUUAAUACCAAAUAAAAAUUAAAAUGUCAAAUAUUAAACUAAAAUAAUGUAAUAUCCCGCGCGAAGCAGUGACAAACUCCUAGUUACACUUAUAUCUAACUACAUACAAAGCAUUAAACCUUUUAUAAAAAAAAACAUAUACACAAAGCAUUAACUAUUAUAUAUUUAUAUACAUAUAUCUAACUAUUACAAAGCUUUAAUUAUUUUAAAGCUUCUCGUUUCUAGCUCUCAAUGUUAU